UGGCUUGAGCAGCCUUACCCCUUCCUCUGUAGGGUUUCCUGCAUUCACGAAGCUCCUCGCUUUACUUAACAUCGCCUCUUCCAUCUUUUUGAAUAUUUUCAUUAGCCAACCUAUGGCUCCAUCUAAAGGACUGGAACCGAGUUCAGCUGUGGGGAGAGAGCAGUCUUUGGUUUUGGGGAGCAGUGAAUUCCAUGGCAGAGGGAAUGGUGUGGACUUUGAGCAAUCAGAACCCUUGAGAGGUGAAGAUGGGGCAGCCAAGGAAGUUCUCCUGCUCGAAAUAGCGAUCACUGUGCGUCCACGCCCAUGCCGUGCGUUUCUUGUCGUCUUGUUGUUGACAGUCUCUUGGGAAACAGCAAAUCUGGCUGGGAUCCCCGAGAGUCUUGUGGAUGCACUCGGCCAGAGAACACACUCGGUACUUCUCAGCCUUCCCUUGUGGAGCAUUUUCAGAGACAGCUCGGUGUACUCUUUAUUACUUAUUCUUCUUAUUGGCUUCUUCGCUUCUCCAUAGGAAGACUGAUUAAGCCGAGCUCCCCUGGAGUCAACACCUAGCUGCCCAGGUGUUUUUGUUGUUUUCCAUUCUUGUCUCAGACAUUUGAAGGACUCUUAACCUCCUGGGGCUGUGGAGGAGGGGGGGAACUGGCUUCCCAGGGCCUCUGUUGGUUUUAGGUGGCAGAAGGGGAAGCGGGCAUUGGGAGGAGAAGCAGGAGGGGGGAGGAGAAGCAGGAGGGGAGAGGAGAGGCUGCCAUUGACGAUGCCACCACCGAGGAUUUCCAAGGAUACCCACCCCUUCAGCCUCGAUGUACCAUUCGCUGUAGCUAUGGGCAAGCUUUCCAUCUGUUUUACAUGUGAGUGUUUCUUCUCUUCUGCAGACUGGUCUGCCACAUGGCCAGCACUCUUCACAUCCCGCACCCACGCAGCCUCUCCCUCAGGUCACUGGACACAGCAGGCACCAGGUAAAUGCUGAGUUGCUGAGGCCCACUGGCUUAGUUAGAAGCAGAAACCAGAGAACCUCCUCUACAUUUAGUUCCGUUAAUGCCGCAGGUGCUCAUCC
This 1051-nucleotide long non-coding RNA is filed under the name Ursus maritimus (polar bear). RNAcentral describes it as "lncRNA (ENSUMAG00000009087.1)". The record is from RNAcentral. Lineage: Eukaryota; Metazoa; Chordata; Mammalia; Carnivora; Ursidae.